UAAGUAGAACAAAUGAUCGCGGCUGUACAGACGAAAGGGUACAGGUGAGGAAAGUCCGGGCUUCACAGGGCAGGAUGCCGGAUAACGUCCGGUGGAGGCGACUCCAAGGCCAGUGCAACAGAAAAUAAACAGCCCCGCAGUUUUGCGGAAGCAAUACUGUGGCGAAGCCGCUUUGCGGCUUCAGGACUUCCGUGCAAACAGAAGUCCAUGGUUAUGGUGGAAUGGCAGUGUAAGAGACUACCGCUGUCCCGGUAACGGGACAGGCUGUGUAAACCCCAUCCGAAGCAAGACCAAAUAGAAAGCAACAGGCCGGCCCGGUCUGCUUUCAGGUAGGUCGCUGGAGGUCUUCGGUAACGAGGAUCCUAGAUAGAUGAUCAUUCACGACAUAACCCGGCUUAUCGUUCUGCUUAUUUU
This 414-nucleotide RNase P RNA is filed under the name bacterium 0.1xD8-71. Its description in RNAcentral is "Bacterial RNase P class A". It matches the Rfam family "Bacterial RNase P class A". From Rfam's summary of the family: Ribonuclease P (RNase P) is a ubiquitous endoribonuclease, found in archaea, bacteria and eukarya as well as chloroplasts and mitochondria. Its best characterised activity is the generation of mature 5'-ends of tRNAs by cleaving the 5'-leader elements of precursor-tRNAs. The record is from Rfam by way of RNAcentral.